GAUUAACGCUAGCGGCAGGCCUAAUACAUGCAAGUCGAACGGCAGCGGGUCCAGCAAUGGAUGCCGGCGAGUGGCGCACGGGUGCGUAACACGUAUGCAAUCUACCCUUAACUGGGGGAUAGCCCCGAGAAAUCGGGAUUAAUACCCCAUAAUAUUACGGUGAGGAGUCUCACUGUAAUUAAAGCUCCGGCGGUUUUGGAUGAGCAUGCGCGACAUUAGCUGGUUGGUGAGGUAACGGCUCACCAAGGCUUCGAUGUCUAGGGGUUCUGAGAGGAUUCACCCCCACACUGGUACUGAGACACGGACCAGACUCCUACGGGAGGCAG
RNAcentral lists this ribosomal RNA (326 nucleotides) under uncultured Bacteroidota bacterium. Its description in RNAcentral is "bacterial SSU rRNA". It matches the Rfam family "Bacterial small subunit ribosomal RNA", at positions 28 to 351 of the family's 1533-position model. The record is from RNAcentral. Lineage: Bacteria; Pseudomonadati; Bacteroidota.